GCGUGGACUCUGGACUUGUGCUCCUCUGUCGUUUGUCCCAGCUGUGCCCAGUUUCCCCUUCUGAGCCAGGUAUGAAUCUUGGCCUCCUCGGUGGCCACAGCUUUCUGCUAAGCCUCGGUCUUCUUCCCGGCAGGAGAGACCUUUGACCCAUGUGCAUCCUGAUCCGUGGCCAGGGGCGUACCCAGUACUGCGGUGCGCCACUCUGGAGGGCUCACCCAGACAUCAGUGCUCCAUGGGAAUGCUGUGAAGACCCAGGGCUCUGAAACAAUAGCCAUGCUAAUUCCUCUGUUGGUGUUUACCCAAGACAUGAAGACCGGAACAGGAAGAGACACUCGUGGGUUAUUCAUAAUCAACCAGACCAAUCCAUGAAUGGCAACGUUGAUGGUGGUAUUUUCCCUCAGAAACUGUCCCUGGGAAAGAAAAGUAACCCAUGAUGAAUGUGGUCCUCUAAGCACAUCUCAGAAGCACGGUGCCGAGGGAGAGAAACCAGACUCCUUACAUGACACCGUGGGGUUGGCAAGAGAAUAGAGACAGAAAUCAGUCCCGUGGCUGUCAGGGAUGGAAGCAGGGGUGGGGUGCACAAUGGGAUUUGUUUGCAAAGCGUCUCAAAGAACUUUGUGGAAAGAAGUCUAAGCCGCAGUACUGGUCAAAGCUUAUUUCAUUGUACUGAAAGAAGAUGAACUUAAGGUAUUACCUUUUUCAAGUAAUGGGACGAGUUAAGAAGAGAGAGCUACUAAAAGGCUGCAUCCUCCCAUCUAGCAAGGCCUCCUAGACCUUAGGCUUUGCUGCAGUGGCAAAGAUAAAUGUGAUGAAGACUGGGGCUGGAGAGAUGGCUCAGUGGUUAAGAGCACUAGCUGCUCUUCCAUCUGUAAUGGGACCUGAUGGUCUCUUCUGGUGUGUCUGAAGACAGCGAGAGUGUACUCACAUAUAAAAUAAAUACAUCUUCAAAAAAAAAAAGUGAGAAGACACAAUGCCCUGGGACUAGGUGUGAAUGUCCUUGUCCCAAGCUCCUUCCAUCCAAAGGACCACCCUACUUGUCUUCAGGCUGCCCACCCGUCUCCUUUUAGCCAGAAGGGUGAUUCUGCUUUUCCACCAUUAUAAUCAGCAUUCUCUGUCUGAUAGAAUCUUCUAGAGAAGGGAGGUUUAAAGCAUGCACAAACACAUGCAUGACACACAAACACACAAGUUUAUUCUAGAGAGUUGGUUCAUAGAGCCAUGGAGGCUAACAUGCCCCCAUACUCUGCAGUUCUCUGGCUGGAAACCCAGGAGAGAUAAUGGUGUAAUUCUAGUUGGAAGCUAGCAGACCUGAGACCCAGUGAGACCCAGUGUUUCUCGUUGACUCCAAACAGAGAAGAGAAGCCAUUGUGAAGACCACAAGGCAAAAGGAGGUCCUUCUUGCUCAUGGGAGCAUCGUUCUUCAUUGUCUGUUGAAGAUUUUCGGUCCUCAGGAGGCCUUUUUCCUUCAAUCACUCUACCAACUUAAAUAUUCAUCUCACCCAGAACACCUCACAUGUAAAUCCAGAAUCACUCUUGGCCAAAUAAGUGGACAGCCCACAGCCCAUUUAAGAUGACACAUAAACUUGUGUUGGGUAGUUUUAUGUCAACUUGACACAAGCUAGAGUUAUCUGAGAAGCAACCACAAUUGAGAAAACGCCUCCAGAGAUUGGCCUGUAGCUAAGUCUGUGGGGCAUUGUCUCAACUAAUGAUUGAUGUAGGAGUGCCCAGCCUACAGGGGAUGCUGCUGCCCCUGGUCAAGUGGUCCCCAGUUGUAUAAGAGAGAAGCCCAAGCGAGCUAUGGCUAGCAAACAGAUUCAUGUUCACAUGGCUUCUGCUCCGGUUCCUGCCUCCAAGUUCCUGCCCUGGCUUCCUUCAGGGAUGGACUUAUACACUGUAAGGUGAAAUAAACUCUUUCCUUCCC
RNAcentral lists this long non-coding RNA (1918 nucleotides) under Mus pahari (shrew mouse). RNAcentral's name for it is "lncRNA (MGP_PahariEiJ_G0004094.1)". The record is from RNAcentral. Lineage: Eukaryota; Metazoa; Chordata; Mammalia; Rodentia; Muridae.